UUUUUGUUUUUUUGGUUUUUGUUUGUUUCUCCUCUCUCCUUCUUACUCCCUCCCCCCGCCCCACUACUCCUUGCUUUGUGAGAGAAAUAGAGAUUUCCAGUGCAAAGGAAUCUUGGUGAAGACCAAAUGAGAUAGUAUGAAAAGCACCUGGUAAAUGUAUCACUUACAAGUAGGUACUGAAUAAACGUUACUUCUCUUUGCUUCCCUGCUUGCCCUGCUGCUCUAUUUUAGACUCUGGUUACUGACAGUUUUAUGUAACUGCUAUAAAAUCUGAGGGGAACUGAAACUGUCAGUCUAAUUCAUGGGAUGGUAUUUCAGGCCCCAAAUAUAAGGCACAAAUACACAUUUGUAAGCCACAGUAAAAUAAAAGGGAAUCCAAAUAUCUGGACAUUAUUUUACUAAUCAUUCAUUGGAAGCCAUUUCUGGCUGUAGUGGGCUAUCUUGUUUCUAUUACUUAAAACUGUAUUUAAAGCAAACAUUUUCCCAAUUGCUGAUGAUAAAAUAUAGCUUCAGAGCUGGCCUGACCACACCUUUGUAUAUUACUUCAUAUUGUUCAUAUAUGUUCCUAAGCUCAGUGCCAUCUUCAAUAUACUUAACUCUAUGUUCUGUAUAACAUUAAAAUGACUUUAUAACCUUAUUUUAAAAUGUUUAAACAAUGUCAUUAAUUUAUGAACAUGUAAAAAAUCACUACUAAUCUCUACUGAUGUCUAUUCUCAUUUUAAAGCUAUAGAAUCUGAUGAACAGAGUGAUUAAUUUUCUGGAGGUCAUAUAGAAACCAUUAGUGACAUUUGUGAGAUAUUUUGAAUUUCUCAAAUAAACAAUAUCACUAAUAUUCCUUAUCAUUUUAUCUUAUAAAUAAAAAUAAACUUUCUCAACUUUCAAAUGUUUUGCACAAAGUAUUUAAUACUUAUUUAAUACUUGAAUAUAUGGCUGGAUAAAAUAGAAUUUUAUAAUCUGAAUCACUUUGAUUUUCUACUUCCCUACUUCCAUUAGUUAUACUACUAAUAAUAGAAUCUAUAGUAGUAUAUAGAAUUAUAUACUACUAAUAGUAGAAUACAUAUAUCCUAGAUCUGUGCUAGACAGUUGUAGAUGAUUCUUAUUUAUUUUUAUUUUUCCAUAUAACAUACCCUUUGUUGUCUACUUUGGGUAAUUGUAUGUAACCUUUCGUUUUGGGGUCCACCCCAUUUCCCCUCCUACUUCUGGGUGAAACUGACACUCUCAACUCUAAAAGUAGAGUAGAUCACCCAGGCCAAGCCAACCAUGAUCCCCAGGCCUGGCUAAUGGGUUCAGUGGUAGAUACCAUCAGGAUCCAGAAUUUGAUUUUACUCUCCUUACAAGCUAAUAUGUUGGUCUAUUGCUAUUUCAUAAAUGUUGGCAGAAGACACAGAUUUCUGGGUCAGAGACAAAGGAUAUUUUACUCAUGGUGCACCCAAUAGGCAACGUGAUUUGCAUUGGUUCCAUUUGCCCCUGGUUCUCAUGGGGGUGAUGCAGUGUCAGCGCAGAUGGAUAUAUGGAGCUGUGGGUCUGUGUCACAGCUGUGGGGCCCUAAUCUUAGGAAAACCACCACUUCAUAGUAGCUGUAAUUAAGCCUUCUUUUUGUCCUUGGUCAAGAAUGCUUGCUGCAAAGACAACCUUGAGAAAUAAUCUAGGUAGAAAGUGUGACUAUUCUUGGCACACCCAUCAAGGUAUACAGAGGGUGAGAUACACACGGAGAGAUGCCUCCCAACAGGGAAAUGGCCUCAGCUAAUUAGAGANNNNNNNNNNNNNNNNNNNNNNNNNNNNNNNNNNNNNNNUCUUUCCCCUGAAAUUUGAACCUAGAAAAAUGUCAUGUUUCAAUUUCUGCUGCUAUCUCAUAAUUACACAGAAUUAUGUAACUGAGAAUGAAGCCAAGAUUGCAAAAGUCAGAAAUGAGAAAAGGAGACUGAAAAAAAAAAGAUGGUUACUGAGUUACAGAUCAAGUACACCAUGAAGCCAGGCUUCCCUGAGAAUGUUCAGUUAUGUGAGCUAAUUAGGUUCUUCUCAUUCAUUCCCAACUAAAGGAGUUCUGACUGAUUUGGCAUUUGACAUGCAUUGUCUCAUCACAACAGCCCUAUAAAGGAGGUGUUAUUAUUCUCAUCUUACAGAUGAGAAAAAGUGUGUCAUGAAGAUUAACUUGCCCAGUAUCACCUAAAUAAAGCAGAAUCACAACUGCUGAUGGCAAACUUCAUGCUCUGAACAGUUAAACCACUAGUUCUGGAAUUUUAAAGUACUUUAGAAAUACCAAGGCUCACCCCAGACCUAAUAAAUCAAAAUCUCUGUAGUGGAGCAUAGGGAAUAUGCAUUUUUAUAAGAUUUUGGGUGAUUCUGAUGCAAGGCUGUGGACCACUUAAAAAAUGUUUGCCUUAGAAACAGAUAUAAUUUCAAGGAUAUUGCUGCCUGACCUUCUGAUACGGUGUCCUUAUUUAAAAGACUUGCUUCUGGAAAAUAAAAGCUGAAGUUUGAGAGUGAUGUAAACUACAAACCAAAAGAAAUCCUUUCCUGAGAAAAGCUGUAUUGGAAGAAGUGGGGAAAGUCAGAAAACAGAGCCCUGAACUGUGGAAAGAAGAGUUAGCAAAUGGGAACUUAAAAGGGAAAUGGGGGAACAGAGUUUUGAAGUUACAUUUCACCAAUUUUUACCUAAGGAAUUCCUUUUUGCUUAAUUAAUUGUGUGUGUUUAAGUUCAGAUUCCACACCUGGCUUAUGUAUAGGGAGACUUGACAAUCUUUUGAAAAAGACAUGCAGACAUCUGCUUGAUGUGCUAGUUAGAAUGGCUCAUUGGACAUGUAGGAGAAUGUUUAAUUUAAUUAUUGACUUUGAAUAGACAUUUUGCCACUGCUAAUAAUAUUAGGUAGAUUAAUGAAUUGUUCAAGUGUUAUAGAGACAGAAAGAACACUGUUGAGAGUUAUCGUUCAUCAAUAUUUGGACAGCCUUUCCUAGAAGAGUCAUGCAGGUCACAUGUGUUAUUGUAAAAUAUUUUCCUGCUUGCCUAUCAUAUCUUAGAUUUCUGUCUUUAAAUUUGAAUGGAGUAUUAGUUGUAAUACAGGUAUUAUUAUUGCAAAAAUCUGAACUACAUCUGUACAUGAUAUUCUAUAGCAUCUGUAUAAUACCCUCCUCCAAGUGGACUCUGCUACAUAGUAGGUUGUUCUCAAAUGUUAAGGCUGCAAGUACUUGCGCUCUCAUCUGUAAGCAGUCUGGGCUUGUACAUGCUGAGAAGGGGUAUAGAGUUGAAUUCCGCUGAGGAAUAACAUGUUAGCUGAUGGCAUUCUUCCCCACUUUUCAUUUCCUUUUAUACUUCCUGUCCACUCAAAACUGAAGACCUGAAUCAAUCUGGUUUAAAGAGGUAUUUAUUUUUAGAGUUUUAAGCUCAUUAUUAUUCCAAAGAAUAUUAGGAGCAUGACUAUAUUAUCAGCCAUAAAUGACUACAAUAUUUCCAGUUUGGGGUUAAGAAGAUUGAGUUUGAUAUAUAUUUUGACAGUAGUUCAGUUUAUCAUCAAAGGGAACAUUUUACCAAAGGGCUUUUAGUUAAAAUUAUACCUCCUUUUUAAACAAUGCUUAUCUCCACCCAGCAGUUUGACAAACAGGUGUUUUGAUAUUUUAGUUUGAACUGGUAACUUCUAUUCACAGGCCUCCUUGACUUUGUUAUCAUUGCAGAAAUACCUUCCUUUAUGGGUGAAGCCAGACAUUAAGUGUAUCUUAUCAUCCCUCAGGCAGUCCCCUCCAGUGUGUACUCUUGAUUACCCUGUCUCCAGAUCUUCAACAAAGCAGUAAAAGAUCAUUAUCAUUAUCUCUGUUCCCGCCUUGGAAAAACCAUGUAACAAUGUUGAACCUCUCUGCCUUCUUUUAAACCAACAAAUGAAAUGUGUUGAAUGAAAAGCAAGAUAUCCAUCUGAAUAUGUGGAAGAGGUUGUCUUGAGCUCAGAGGUGUAUGGUGCAACAAGAAAGCAGCACAGACUUUGCAAUACCUUUUUUUUAAAGCACAUGACACUGUAGCAAUUAUGUGACUGUCUUUCAAUCAUUGCAGUUAAAGACCUCAGCUCUCUGAUGUGGCACAAUGGAUUAAAGAAGGGAAUGAGCAAAAUUUGCAAGACAUAACUCUACUACCAAAGUGUUUUUCAGAAGACUGAUAUAAAUAUGUCAUCUCUAUUAUUUGUUUAAAAUAAGUUGGGAAUAUAUCACAACUUUUAAAAAUGUAUCUUCCAUAAUAUUCUCCAGAACUCCUUGCCUAUUUUCUCAGGCCCAAACCAUACAUUCAGUAUAGUGGUCAGUAUUAAAUUGGAUGAGGCAUCAAAGCUUUUCAAACAUGAUCCUUUCUUGGGGUAUUGUGAGAGAAGAUGGCUCCAGAAAUUCCACCCUGGGAACACAGAGGUCACUGGCAAGACAGAAUAGAUCAUGGACACUAAACUGAUACAUUUUUACCUUCUUCCAUAAAUCAUGUUUCACUGCAGUCUCUCACCCAGAGGUGAGGCUCAUCACUUUAGGAUAGGAAAGGGCUUGUUUCAAACUUCCAGGCAACGUAAAAAGGCUUGGAAAUCAGGGCACAUGUUGGGGGUGGCGGUUGCACAGAGAAUUGCUAAUUUUUCUCUCUUGCUUUGUUUUUUUGUUUUGUUUUGUUUUUUGUUUUUUGUUUUUGCCUCAGCACAUCACAGGCUAAGACUAAAGUACUCAAGUCCUAUUCUUUUCCUCUUGGGCAAAGGAGAUGCAGGGUGCAUGGAAUGUUUUUCAUAAGUGAGGUUUACAAGGGAGAGAUGCAAAAGACCUGAGACAGAGCCACAGAAAAAGCUCUCGGACGGAGCAGAUCCUUAGGAUCACCAGUCUAGAGCUGCCUCAGAUCCCUCUCUGGUCACAGAGCCAAGAGGCUCACGAUGGGGCUGCCAAGGCAGGGCUAGCUCACUUAUUGACUGAGGCGGGGGUAGACCCCAGGAUGGACAGCUGUAUGAGGACCCUGGAGGACUCUGAGAAGGUUGCAGCCCUCACCAAACUAAGAGGUCGGAUCACAGGUCCUGGUUUCAAUGAACUGCAGCCAGGAAUCAUGCAGGAGGAAGGACCUACUUCCAGAUAGUAAAGGGAAGACAGGGCCCCUUUCCCAAGGAGAAUAAUUUGUCCCCUCCUCCCUUAAGACACAUAAAGCCUCUUUCCAAUAUUCACUCUUAAGCCAUUUUAGAGAUGCCAAGUGAGGAAUGGGGCGGAGUUCCCAUUGUGGCUCAGUACAUUACAAAUCCAACUAGUAUCCAUGAGGAUGCAGGUUUGAUGCCUGGACUUGCUCAGUGGGUUAAGGAUCUGGCCUUGCUGUGAGCCAUGGUGUAGGUUGCAGCCAUGGCUUGGAUCCUCUGUUGCUGUGGCUGUGGUGUAGGCUGUUAGCUACAGUUUGGAUUCGACCCCUAGCCUGGGAACUUCCAUAUGCCAUGGGUGUGGCCCUAAAAGGCCGGGGAGGGGGGGAGGAAUAGGGGGCCAGCCAGGAGGUUAUCUAAACUUAUCGAAAUAAAAUUUUGAAAUUUUCUGAAAAAAAUUGGAUGCUGGAGAAUUUAUUUAAUGUUUCUUCCCAGCUAACCAGCUAGAAGCCACUUGGAAUAAUUUUCAGAGUUAAUACUAAAAGAACAAAAUGUUUUUUACACAUUGGAGCUAUGAGUUCAAUUUGCCACCUUGCUAGAACUUUUAAAAAUAUUAAAAAGACAAAAGUCUAGCUAUUCUUAGUCGUAGUGAGAUAGGGUAGAGAACUAUAAAGGUUAGAGUUACUUUUUCCUAAGUUUGCCACUCUAAAAUAAAUACCACUCUAAAAAUAAGCCACUCUAAAAAAACCACUCUGAAAAAUAAAAUAUGUUAAGAAAACAAACAAAUGAAAAACCUCUCCUAGUAAUGCUUAAAUUCUUCAAGGGAUGGACAUGGCCGUCAUUGAACAAAACAUAAAUGUCUUUCUAUUUUAUGUUGAAAUCUGAUUUUUGUAUUUUCUUAACCCAUUGUCCUCUGAAACAUCUUUAAGAGAUCCCUUUUUUUCUCUUCCAUGAACUUUCCCUGGGAUGUCAAUUAGCAGUUUCUUGGUUCCCACAACAAAGUCUGAGGUCAUAAAUGAGAGCAGACAGUAAUUUAAUCUGUGAGCGAUUAUUUUAAUCUAUGAGUGAUUGUGAUAUCAUCUGGUUAGUUUGGUGACAACUGCACAUGGAGUACACUGCUUCCUACUCAUACUGACUCGUUUUUUGGUUGUUGUUGUCAUUUUCUUUCUCUCUUUCUGAACUAAAAACUUUCUUUAAAAAAAAAUU
RNAcentral lists this long non-coding RNA (6272 nucleotides) under Sus scrofa (pig). Its description in RNAcentral is "lncRNA (ENSSSCG00005041915.1)". Lineage: Eukaryota; Metazoa; Chordata; Mammalia; Artiodactyla; Suidae. The record is from RNAcentral.